UAUUAGACAUAUGUAUAAUUCUGCCAUAUGUUCAAAAAGCCUUUACUGCAGUGCUAAGUUUGCAGCAUUUUUUUGUAAAAGCAAAAAAAAAAGUGCAAUAGAAUAAUAAUUUAGCAUUGCAGUAAAUGCAUUGUGAAUAUACGCUCACUCAUAAUUUGUGUUAUAGAUCAAUGAAAUUGUUGCGUUAUUCACUGCCAAGACAUCUCAUUGUAUGCAAAUAUAAGACGGUAUCAAUUAGUGCAACUUCAAAACGUGACAUUGCCAACAAACACAGAAAACAAAUGUUUAAAUCAAAUAAUAAAAGAGCAUUACAAAUGCUUAAAUAAAAAGUCACUACACACUGCCUAUAAUUGAAUGACCUGUUAAGUUGUUUAGUAUUUAAAUAUUUUAUUUGUGAUUUAAUAAUCUACAUGCUAAACAGUUCUGGCCAAUUGGCCCUUUUCUUGAUUAGAUCUCACAGGGUUUCCUCCCUGGUAAAUGAAUGUGCAGCCUGUGGUUAAUCUUAAGGUGUAGUCUUCACCAGAGAAUACAAAGUGUAAAUGUACAUUGUAACACGAUUGAGUUCUGUGAUCAUUAUCCUACUAAAAAAAGAAACAAAAAAUGUUUUCAUGAAUGUCUUUUAAGAUUAUAAUUGAACUAAAAUCCUCUACAGUCCAACAUUUGUUUGAAGUGAAUUAACUUUGUCUUUGACUAGGCUAGGUACACUGCAGUCAACCGGCAGAUUCUUGCCAAUUGUGUCAUCCCUAUUGUGUGAGCAACAUGAUUUGCAAUGUUAAACCUUUGUAAUGCAUUUGAAUUCUAUGUGAAAUUAUAUUAACCUAAAUUCAUGUAAUGUCACACAUUUCUGUAUAUUACCUGGAGAACUGCUUAUCCAACUGUCAUGAAACUGGGUAUUAACAUUAUUUAUUGACAUUAUGACAUUGUGGGGAUAUACUUAUACAGUAUCAGGACAACCACUUAUCCAAUUGUCAUGAAACCUGCUCCUAUAGCUUCUGCUUUGUAUUGCUUUAGCACAAUCUCUUCGUAGGGAUCACAUCAUUUUUCUAUGCAAACAAAUAAAUAAGACCGUUCUCCCUUAGAUUCCCUCCCAUAUUUCCACAGUAUUGAACAUUGACAUUACUUCUUAAGCACAGUAUAUGCAAGCCUAGAUCCACACAUUAAAGAAGGUAACUAGUAAUAAGCCUUUCAGUACCCCCACUGUAAUUAUACUGCCAGAUAUACGUAUUGAUUAUUCUGAAAUAGGCACAAAGCAAACUGGUGGAAGUUUAGAUUAUCCACCACUUUGGUCUUUGGAAAAUAGACACAGACUCUUAGAGCAUUAUAUAUUCCACCAAAAAGAAAGCGUAUGAAUAACUAAUGAACCAAAGUGGCAGAUAGAUUCCCGCCAUGUUUAAAGCAGCUUUAGAAAACACUCAAUUGGUGGGAAAAACAGGUGCAGAAACAAUGGUCGAAAUAAUGGAGCAGCACGCUAUCCUCCUGCGGAUCCCCUUUGAAAAUAACCCCCUACUGUUUAAAUGUGACCAUUGAACCAAGAAGUUUGAAACUUGUUGAAUCAUGUGUUUCUUAGUGCAGUUAAGCAAUACCCUUGAACUUAAUCAUACUGUAAUAAAGAUUACAAAAACAAAGUGACUGAACAUAGAAAAGCAAUCUCUAUUUCAUUGUGUAAAAAAUAGUAGAUUCCACCACGACCCUUGGAAAAUUCCUAUUUGAAAACAUGACUCGAAAAUGGGAAUAGAUACAAAUCACAUGUUUAAACAAUCCUUUUAAAUCAGGCUGGUUGGAAUGGUCAGUAUUCCAUCUGUACCUGUUCCUGAGUAUAUAAUUACAGUGACAGUGGUGUGUUUUGGAUCAAAUCAUGGGGUUUUAUAAAAGCAAACUGUACUUGUUCUAGGGCUAUAGCAUUUUGAUUGUAUUUAUGAUAUGAUAAAGAUAGGAUCAGGAUUAGUAUUCCAGCGAGGGUGUUAUUUACACUAUAUUGUGUUGUGCUUUUGCUGGAUAAUAUGAUUUGAAAUUCCCAAAAAAGUGAAUUAAAGAGAGAGAUACCAUUUGUCAUAUAAUUAAAUGUAUUUGCACAAGGCACACGAUAAACACACCAUCUGCACGAGUAACUGGGUUUGAUAAAUGAAGACCAUAGGAAAAUGAAUUUAGUAUGGUUGCAUAGAUUUGUGGGAAAAGUCAUGGAUAUCAGGUGUACACUGACCAGUGUUACUGUGUGAUACAUUGUUAGGGCAGUGACACAAGUGGGACUGUAAUGCCAAAUCAAAAACAAAUGAUCUGUACGAUGACAAAUAAGAAUCUAAUUAAACUUGUUGGUCGGAUUUUUGGUGCAACCUUUCCGCAUUGCUCUCUCUGGAAUUUUUAGUUUCAGUUCUAGAUAUUCAAAAUGCUGAUAAAAACUCUGUGUUUAAGGAAGCAGCAACUGCUGGUCAAAGGACACUGUAAAUUAUCUGGAGGCUGUGAGUACAGUGUCAGGCUCUACAACAGCAACUCGCACAACACUAACUGAAAAACUCAAAGGCUGCUUUAUAUCAAGCUACCGAUUUAUAAUGGCUUUCUCAGGACAUGAUUAUUAUGAGGAAGACAGUGAAGAAGUGUCCUAUGACAGCAGUUCUGAGUCUGAGAUCCAAGCUGACAGUCCAAGAGAUGUACACAACACACCAUGCAAGUUUUAUAACCGGGGAAAUUGCAAGGAUGGAAGUCAUUGUCGUUAUCUGCAUGUUUGUGAAUACUACUUCAAAGGCAAUUGCAAGUAUGGAAGCCAGUGCAAAUACUCCCAUAGUGAAGAUGGAGAUGAUUUUGAUUCCCAAAGCCAGGAACCCAGGGAUAAACCCUACCAAUGGCAGAUUAGAAGUGGAUCAAAGUGGUACGAUGUCGAAAUGGACUGGAUUAUUGAAGCCCAGUAUUCACUACCAGAUGUGAAAGGAAUUAAGUUGUACAAUACAAAAUUUGGGAUGAUUUGUAUUAACUUCAAUGCCAUGAGAGUCCAAGGCAAACAGCUUGGUGUUCGACGUCAGACAUUUCCAAAUUCCAGUCAGAAAACUGCAUGGUUAUGGUUUUUCCGUGGUGAUACAAAAUGGCAUAUACUUGGAAAACAGGAUUCUCAAGACAGUUCUCUUUCUUUCACAAAUGCAGAUAUUGAGAGAGAGUACCAGCGGAAUAAACAUGGUUUGUUUCAGUUUUCGGUAGGAACUAAAUCCUAUCAUAUUAAUUUUCAAGAAAUGAAUCAAAUCAAUAUCAGCUCUAAAAGUGAGAGAAGAGUAAGACGCCGCCCAGUGUUUGCUGUUUCAAAACAUGGAGGCAGGCAAGUUUUUUACCUUGCAGGAACUAUUAGGAGAUGAAGUGGACAUUUGGAAAAAUCCCUAACUUCAAAAAGCUGUAGUUUUGUCAUUUAUUUUUUAAUUGAAAAUGUAAAAACUAUGUCAAUAUCUUGUUGAAUUACCUAUAUGUUGUUGUAAAGGAUUUUUAUUAUUGUUAUUUUAGUCUCUCAACAUCUUUGAGCAGCAAGAGGUGGCAAUAUUCUGAUAGCAAAGGAAGCUGGUAUGACUUCAAACACAUGAGCUGCUCAGUUCAAAGCAAAGAUAUUGAAGAUGAAUACCAGAGAAAUCCGAAUGGAAAGAUGAAGUUCACUAUUGGACCUACAAUACGGGAGUUAGACUUUUCAGCAAUGACACAGAUAAACCUAUCCACUGGAAGAGUGCGUGCUGUUCGGAGAGUCUAGCUAUCCCGUCCAUUUCUGCACACUGAUUGGAAGACAAAGAUGAAAAAGAAAACACAACAACUGGUUCAAAUUCACAAUGUUUCAUGUGUUUUCUGAAAAGUCUAAAAAUCACUGGUUAAUGUCAGCUAAUUUAGAACAUGUAGAAUACCACAGACUCCUUAUAUUAAAUUACUAGUUUUUUUUUUCUUACUGUAUUUCAGUGGGUGUUUAUAUCUUUAGUAUUUUGUGAUACACUGCAACAGGCUGGGUUACUUUGGGGCAGGUUUAUUGUUGACUAAGGUGACCAGAUUUUGAAGUCCUUAAACUGAGACAGUGGUGGAAAUAUUGUGAAUAACUUCCAACAUCCAAACAACAGGGAAGCUCUAGGUUUUUUAUUUUCACUUUGGCAAUGUUUGAUCUAAUAUUAUAUUACAAGUGAAUGCAGAGGCUCAUGGGGAUAUUCAGAGUAGACUCAUUCACUUUCAAAAACUUUUUAUUGUGAAUAAAUUAUCUUAUUGUCUUUGUAAUUUCAUUUGUACACAACAAGUAUAGUUAUUACAUUACACAGUAGUAAUUUCGUAAUAUAAAAUUCUGAGAUUCUGUUGUAUUGCUGAUUACUACUACAAAUCUAGUCCCUUUUAUGCCUAAGAAACUGCAUGACUUCUGACUUUGAUUUCCACUUUCCACCUUUCUCUGUCUCUAUCUCUAUGCUAUCUUCCAGUGUCCAACCUGCAAACCAGACCCGUCUUUUAUGGAAACAUUACAU
Polyodon spathula (Mississippi paddlefish) is the source of this 4463-nucleotide RNA transcript. It is a transcript of the gene named protein mono-ADP-ribosyltransferase PARP12-like, with no coding region annotated. The record is from RefSeq and is a predicted model, not a curated record. The transcript has 9 exons. NCBI's taxonomy places the organism in Eukaryota, Metazoa, Chordata, Actinopteri, Acipenseriformes, Polyodontidae.